GUUGCGGGCGGAACUGAGCGCACGCGAGGCUCGAAGGCGACUGCAGUCGGCCCUUCCCGGAGUCCCGCUUCGGGGCCGUCCCUGGGCGCUGCGCGUUGGUCCGCCCGAGUCUUGGGGUGGCUUGGGAGAAUGGGUUUGGGGCUCAGGCCUCGAGGUUGCCAAGAGCCUCGCGCUUCCUCAUUUUCCCGCCAGGUCAACGUAACCCGGCAUUUCUCCGAGGAGAGGCCUAAAAAUGAGUGGGGCUGCCGCCCGACUCCUGUGAGAGCCUCGGGGCUUCCAUUCCCGACACCAGGAGGAAAGACCGGCAUUUCUUCCUCGGGCGAAGAACCCAGGUUGAACUUAUUUUUGUUCUUAGUUCUGAGGACUGAACCUAGAGGCUCACACAUGCUAAAUAUUUACUCUACCACUGAAGCAAUCUCCUGGCCCUCAAAUUCUUAAGUUAUAAAACAAGAAAAUUUUUGAUAUGGUUUCCUGGAUGAAACAGUGACAAAAUCAAGAGAGCUAACCUUGCUUACCCUGCCCAACCCACUUGUGUGAUAUGUUAGCUCCCUGGUCCCUGCUUGAUUCAGACACUACAGAAGAUGUGGGCAUUCUGGCUUCAUUGAUGUGAUGUGCUCUCUAUGAAUUAAAAUUGCAAUUAAUUAUUUUACAUGAAAAUAUGCCUUCUAUGAGAGUGAUACAGACUUCAGCAAAUUUUAACAACUUAUUUUGUAUAUUAACAUUUAUUAAAGACUUUCUUGGUACUAGA
This 748-nucleotide long non-coding RNA is filed under the name Heterocephalus glaber (naked mole-rat). RNAcentral describes it as "lncRNA (ENSHGLG00000029198.2)". Lineage: Eukaryota; Metazoa; Chordata; Mammalia; Rodentia; Bathyergidae. The record is from RNAcentral.